GCUAGGGUGGCAGAGAUAGGAAAUUGCAUAAGACUUAAAACCUUAGUACCAGAGGUUCAAAUCCUCUCCCUAGCA
This 75-nucleotide transfer RNA is filed under the name Akodon montensis. Its description in RNAcentral is "tRNA-Leu". It matches the Rfam family "tRNA". Rfam says of the family: Transfer RNA (tRNA) molecules are approximately 80 nucleotides in length. Their secondary structure includes four short double-helical elements and three loops (D, anti-codon, and T loops). The record is from RNAcentral. Lineage: Eukaryota; Metazoa; Chordata; Mammalia; Rodentia; Cricetidae.